ACAAAUAGUAAUUUGGACAGAUAUUUUUCUUAAUCUUCCAUGACUGGAUAAUGUGUUACCAAUGCCUUUUCAUGUUGCCAAAGGUUUACAAUCAACAAAUGCACACCACCUCCAAUUCACUCUCUUUUCCCCAUUUGGAAGAUGUGUUCGACACUAUAAACCAAUGGCUGGUCAGAGAAAUUGUCGAUUUGGCAUUGUUCGACUCCUAUAUUUAGACCGAAGAAGUAACAAACCUUGAUUAAAACAUACCCGUGGCUAAUCCCUAAGAAAACAUAUAAUAAAGAUAAACGAACACCCAAGUUCUCAUUAAUAGAAAUAAAUUGAAGUUUGCUCAAAUGUCAUGAGUCCUCAACUUCCCAUAUCAAAUCCUCUAUACAUUUAAGACAGAUGAUUUCCGUAAAAUAAUACAAUCCUGUUACCAGCAUACUUGAUGCAAAUAGAUAUGAACUUACAAAAAGUCUAUUUUAGGUAUGAUUAUUAUUUAAGACAAAGAGAAUGAAUAUUCCUUUUAAAUAAAGCUUGAAAUCCUUUUCCACAUCUUAUUAUUUUGUCGAAAUAAUUAAUUUAGCAUAGAAGCCCCAAGUCGGGACCGAAGAAUUAUAUUAUUUAAGGGAGAUUAUCAAUUUACUGAGUAUUAAUUUAAAGAGGUUCUACUGUAUAACUGAACUGAGGGUGACAUCUGGUAUUGACAGCCAACAAUUUAAGAAGUAUAGGAUUAUCGACCUAAACAACAUUAUUGGUUUUAAACGAUCUAUGAGUGUCGUAUAUGUCUGUUCACAUGGUGACAUAAUCUGGAUAGAUGUGCAAACUGAUCGAGUUGAAUACAAAAUGCACAACAUCAUAUAAUGCCUUUGG
Molecule: long non-coding RNA, 855 nt
Filed under: Aquilegia coerulea
Lineage: Eukaryota; Viridiplantae; Streptophyta; Magnoliopsida; Ranunculales; Ranunculaceae
Description: long non-coding RNA (ACOE_LNC000695)
Source: RNAcentral